Molecule: transfer RNA, 72 nt
Filed under: Ictidomys tridecemlineatus (thirteen-lined ground squirrel)
Lineage: Eukaryota; Metazoa; Chordata; Mammalia; Rodentia; Sciuridae
Description: Spermophilus tridecemlineatus (thirteen-lined ground squirrel) tRNA
Rfam family: tRNA
About the family: Transfer RNA (tRNA) molecules are approximately 80 nucleotides in length. Their secondary structure includes four short double-helical elements and three loops (D, anti-codon, and T loops).
Source: Rfam by way of RNAcentral
GGGGGUGUUGCUCAGUGGUAGAGCGCAUGCUUAGCAUGCCUGAGGCCCUGGGUUCCAGCCCCAGCACUACCA